GGGACGUUAGCUCAGCAGCAGAGCGCCUGGCUGUGAACCAGGAGGCGCCGGGGCAGCACCGGCACGCCCUCCCA
RNAcentral lists this transfer RNA (74 nucleotides) under Oscillochloris sp. RNAcentral's name for it is "tRNA-His". It matches the Rfam family "tRNA". From Rfam's summary of the family: Transfer RNA (tRNA) molecules are approximately 80 nucleotides in length. Their secondary structure includes four short double-helical elements and three loops (D, anti-codon, and T loops). Lineage: Bacteria; Bacillati; Chloroflexota; Chloroflexia; Chloroflexales; Oscillochloridaceae. The record is from RNAcentral.